UCCUACGGGACGCAGCAGUCGGGAAUAUUGCGCAAUGGAGGAAACUCUGACGCAGUGACGCCGCGUAUAGGAAGAAGGUCUUCGGAUUGUAAACUAUUGUCAUUAGGGAAGAGAAAGGACAGUACCUAAAGAGGAAGCUCCGGCUAACUACGUGCCAGCAGCCGCGGUAAUACGUAGGGAGCAAGCGUUAUCCGGAAUGAUUGGGCGUAAAGGGUGCGUAGGCGGCCUGCUAAGUCUGGAGUGAAAGGUACCGGCUCAACCGGUACAGGCUCUGGAAACUGGCGGGCUAGAGAGCAGGAGAGGGG
RNAcentral lists this ribosomal RNA (305 nucleotides) under uncultured bacterium. Its description in RNAcentral is "bacterial SSU rRNA". It matches the Rfam family "Bacterial small subunit ribosomal RNA", at positions 337 to 659 of the family's 1533-position model. The record is from RNAcentral.